RNAcentral lists this ribosomal RNA (861 nucleotides) under Triticum aestivum (bread wheat). RNAcentral describes it as "partial small subunit ribosomal RNA". The record is from RNAcentral. Lineage: Eukaryota; Viridiplantae; Streptophyta; Magnoliopsida; Poales; Poaceae.
AUGGUCUCCACGAACCCGCCGCCGCCGCCGGCGCUGUCCGAGGCGGCCGCCGCCGUGUCGGGCGACGACGCCAGCAAGAAGGUGCGGAAGCCCUACACCAUCACCAAGUCGCGCGAGAGCUGGACGGAGCAGGAGCACGACAAGUUCCUCGAGGCCCUGCAGCUCUUUGAUCGUGACUGGAAAAAGAUAGAAGCUUUUGUUGGUUCGAAGACUGUCAUCCAGAUAAGGAGCCAUGCACAGAAGUAUUUUUUGAAGGUUCAGAAAAAUGGAACCAGCGAACAUGUCCCACCUCCACGACCGAAGCGUAAAGCUGCCCACCCAUACCCUCAGAAGGCCUCCAAAAAUGAGCCAGGAUAUGCCCUGAAGACAGAUCCAUCUGCCAUGCUUAGAAAUUCAGGAAUGAACGUGGCUGUUUCUCCAUGGACCCACAAUUCUAUCCCACCAGUUGUCGCCUCAUCUUUCAUGAAAGAAGAUUUAGGUGCUGGGUCUAUGGGUCCAAACAUUUUUUGCUCAAGCAGUAGUGAAGGCCCUCCAAGGGCAUGGCAAUCUGGUGAAACCAAUGACCAGAUAAAUCAAGUUCCAUCACUCCGCAUUAUGCCAGAUUUUGCACAAGUAUACAGCUUCUUAGGCAGUGUUUUCGAUCCAAGCACAAAGGGCCAUUUGCAGAAACUGAAGGAGAUGAAUCCAAUUGAUGUUGAAACAGCACUGUUGUUAAUGAGAAAUCUCUCCAUCAACUUGACCAGUCCUGAUUUUGAAGAUCAAAGGAAGUUGCUGUCUUCGUACAAUUCCACCUCUGAUGGGCUAGAGCUAGGGAGCUCCAGAAGCUCACUUCUUACGGAUAAUGCAUUGAGCCUUUUUUGA